AUGCGCGCGCCCUCCGCGAAUGCUUUUUGGGGUAAGGGCUUCCGGCUAUUGAGUUAUGUACAGCAAGCCCAGACCGCAAAAAGAUUCGCGAAGGGCAGAGUCCGCCGGCUGCUUCGGUCCUCCGCCGCCGCUGCCGCCGCCUUCAGCCCAGGAUGUCUCGAUACCCCGGAGCCGAGCAGGCUGGGUCUCCCCAGCGCGCUCCACCUCGGCUCAGCCUCCCCGCCGCGCGCGCCGCCCGCCCCUCCCCGCGCCCCUCGACCCGUCCCUGCUUCUCUCCAGACCGUCUUCGAGCCCCUCAACUCAGCCCCGCACGGCCGCGAAAGAGGCGUGUGUGUGGCGAGAAGCGGAGCGCGAGGGGUACCGGGGAUCCCGGUGCCCAGCCUCCAGCCCUUUCCCUUCGCCCCGGCACCCCGAGCCUUCCCGCUCGCCUGUCCUAUCGCCCCACUCCCGCAUCAGGGUUCCGCCAGCCUCGGCUGCAAGUCUCUCCCCCCACCGCCCCCUAGCAGGGAAACCCUCCACAGCCGGGGUGGGUUGCUGCGAACACGACCAGAACUUGCGGGGGAAAGUUGCCCUAUUUGUUCGCUGGCACCCUGGAAUCGACGUGCGGGCGGGCGCGCGCGCACUCACACCCGCGCCCUGCCUGCCCGAGCAAACAUCUCCAGACGACGGAGCUGCUGUCUGCGCGUCCCUGUCGACCCACCCCCUCCGCCCAUCCAUCACUCUCCGGCAGCUCUGCGACCCACCCACCCUCCCACCGCCUCCCCUCGGCUCCGAGACCGACAGACGCAAGCACACACCCUCUGCGAGCGCCGGCGCGCCCGCCGCGCCACAGGGGGCUCCAGUCCGCGCCCGCCGCCGCUGCGGCGCGGGGCAACUGCGAAAAAAAGUUCAGCUCGGCCGCCCCGUGAGCCCACGAACCACCCGCCGGCCAGAGUGCCAACCCCCUUGCUUCCUUACCUGGGUCCGGGGGGCCGCGGGGGGCGCGCCGGUCCCAUCCGCACUGCAGCCAGCUUGAAGGAGCCCAGGUCCGGCCGGGCCGCUUCCCUCCCGCCCCUCCCCGCCCCCCACGCGUGUUUGCCCAGCGGCAAAGCGGGCUCUUCCAGGGUUGCACCCCGGUUGCCCUGCAUGGGGGUCAGGUCACCCUAGCCAGGAGCAGUUGCCAGGUUUGGCCGGAGUGUCUGGAAUUGAUUGCAAUGAAUUUCACUCUGGGCGGAGCCCACGAUCCCAGCCAGCUGAUGGUCUCCCCAGCAACAUUUGCCAACUUGGAGAAAACCCCCUCCCCAGUUUCCCUCCAAGCUGAUUUGCAACCAUUUGACUUCUGGCACUGUGCCUGGAUUCUCUAAGCAUAGCCGGAGCAAUUCCUGAGCUCUGGCUUCGAAAUCGCUCGUUCCACCAAUUCAUUUGGGGUGCCUCUGACUAGGAUGCGAAGGAAAAGGGGAAUAAGAAAAACGCUCCAACACACAUCCUUCCAUACCGCCCUACAGUUGCAGCUUGUGGGAGCCUGCUUGGGGGAUCAUGAUGAGGGCUCGAAUAAAGCAACCUAUAGUCUCUUA
Molecule: long non-coding RNA, 1553 nt
Organism: Oryctolagus cuniculus (rabbit)
Lineage: Eukaryota; Metazoa; Chordata; Mammalia; Lagomorpha; Leporidae
Source: RefSeq, a predicted model, not a curated record